Molecule: ribosomal RNA, 465 nt
Filed under: uncultured bacterium
Lineage: Bacteria
Description: bacterial SSU rRNA
Rfam family: Bacterial small subunit ribosomal RNA
Source: RNAcentral
GACGAACGCUGGCGGCGUGCUUAAAACAUGCAAGUCGAACGGACUUCUCAUGAAGCUUGCGAUUGAGAAGUUAGUGGCGGACGGGUGAGUAACGCGUGGGCAACCUGCCUCUGAGCCCGGGAUAACAGUUCGAAAGGACUGCUAAGACCGGAUAUACUUGCGGUGAAGCAUUUCACUGCAAGGAAAGGGAACGCUCAGGGAUGGGCCCGCGUCCCAUUAGCUAGUUGGUGAGGUAACGGCCCACCAAGGCGACGAUGGGUAGCCGGCCUGAGAGGGUGAACGGCCACACUGGGACUGAGACACGGCCCAGACUCCUACGGGAGGCAGCAGUUGGGAAUCUUCGGCAAUGGGCGCAAGCCUGACCGAGCAACGCCGCGUGAGUGAUGAAGGUUUUCGGAUUGUAAAGCUCUGUCUUCCGGGACGAUAAUGACGGUACCGGAGGAGGAAGCCACGGCUAACUACGUG